AAGGACAAACUCGGGAACUGAGGAUAUACUCCAUAGGUCACGAGAUCUGGAAAGACUUGUGGCUCAAAGUUCAGGCGCUCUAGGAUUGGUCUGCGGCCUAUCAGGUAGUAGUGGGUGUAACGGACCCACUAGCCGAUGACGGGUAUGGGCCUUGAGAGAGGGAGCCCAGAGAUGGAUUCUGAGACACGAAUCCAGGCCCUACGGGGCGCAGCAGUCGCGAAAACUUCACAAUGGAGGCAACUCCGAUGAGGGAAUUCCUAGUGCCAAUGCAUUUUGUGUUGGCUUUUCUUCAGCGUAGAUAACUGAUGGAAUAAGGGCUGGGUAAGACGGGUGCCAGCAGCCGCGGUAAUACGAU
RNAcentral lists this ribosomal RNA (355 nucleotides) under uncultured archaeon. Its description in RNAcentral is "bacterial SSU rRNA". It matches the Rfam family "Archaeal small subunit ribosomal RNA", at positions 122 to 479 of the family's 1478-position model. The record is from RNAcentral.